UGGUAUAUGUAUACUUGUUGCAUUGCACAUGAUGCCCUGUUGUUUUUGUGAAUCGCAAGGAUAACAGAUAACUUAUUUCUACUCACCAAAUAUAGGACUUCUGUUGUGUUCUGAAGAUUCUGUUACAAAUCUAUAUCAAAAUAAAAGAUGGACUACUUGACACAGAAAUGGAAGCUGUGGUAUAAGUCCUUGGACGUCAACCUCGACGGGAAGAUCUCGCUGGAAGAUGUCGAAGAGUCCCGAAAUAAAUUUACGGAACUUCACCAUCUUUUUGGCGACAAGGCCGACUCCGUCAAGGCAGACAUCAAAACUGGUGGAUAACAUACAUCCUGAACGGCAAAGAUCAAGUAUCUGAAGAGCAAUUUAUUUCUAGUGUCACUGUCACUUAUGAAAAGGACAAGGAAGACUUCAAGGCCAACAUACAGAAAUGUUUUGAAGCGAUUUUUAACGUCAGUGAUACAAAUAAAGAUGGCUCCAUUGACCUUGAUCAAUUCAUUCUUAUUUUUAAGGCCUUUGGACACAACAAAGAGGACCCUGUUCGAGAGGCCUUUAAACUUUUUGAUAAAGAAUUGGUGCCAGUUGGAGAGAUUGUGACAGCCUGGGUCCAGUUUGUGACCGACGAAGACAGCACAAAACGUGACGUCAUGCGCGAAGUUUUGGAAUCCGCAGUUUAAGCAAUAAAUAUGACGUAUAACAUGACUCACGUCUACUUUUCAUCUAGAGACAAGGAAUAUCGAAAGAAAAAAAAAACGUUUUAAUGUCCAUGCGCAUUUCUUUUACUGACUUUACUUGCUCGAACACUCAGCUGUGUGAUCAGGUGGCAUGAUUAUAAAGAAUUUGGGAAUUAAGUCUCUCUCUCUCUCUCUCUCUCUCUCUCUCUCUCUCUCUCUCUCUUCAUACUCUGCUCUGAUCUUUGCUUUUUACUAUGAUUUAUUUGAAUAAAUAUGGUUUUAACUGA
Long non-coding RNA from Saccostrea echinata, 958 nucleotides. RefSeq lists it as uncharacterized. Lineage: Eukaryota; Metazoa; Mollusca; Bivalvia; Ostreida; Ostreidae. The transcript has 2 exons. The record is from RefSeq and is a predicted model, not a curated record.